This 825-nucleotide ribosomal RNA is filed under the name Hermatomyces sp. RNAcentral's name for it is "partial large subunit ribosomal RNA". It matches the Rfam family "Eukaryotic large subunit ribosomal RNA", at positions 66 to 909 of the family's 3401-position model. The record is from RNAcentral. Lineage: Eukaryota; Fungi; Ascomycota; Dothideomycetes; Pleosporales; Hermatomycetaceae.
CAACAGGGAUUGCCCUAGUAACGGCGAGUGAAGCGGCAAGAGCUCAAAUUUGAAAUCUGGCUCCUUUGGAGUCCGAGUUGUAAUUUGUAGAGGGUGCUUUGGUGUCGGCCAUGGCCUAAGUUCCUUGGAACAGGACGUCACAGAGGGUGAGAACCCCGUACGUGGCUGCUGGCCUUCACCAUGUAAAGCCCCUUCGACGAGUCGAGUUGUUUGGGAAUGCAGCUCUAAAUGGGAGGUAAAUUUCUUCUAAAGCUAAAUAUUGGCCAGAGACCGAUAGCGCACAAGUAGAGUGAUCGAAAGAUGAAAAGCACUUUGGAAAGAGAGUCAAAAAGCACGUGAAAUUGUUGAAAGGGAAGCGCUUGCAGCCAGACUUGCUCGUAGUUGCUCAUCCGAGCUUUUGCUCGGUGCACUCUUCUGCGGGCAGGCCAGCAUCAGUCCGGGCGGUUGGAUAAAGGCUCUGGGAAUGUAGCUCUCUUCGGGGAGUGUUAUAGCCCAGGGUGUCAUGCGACCAGCCUGGACUGAGGUCCGCGCAUCUGCUAGGAUGCUGGCGUAAUGGCUGUAAGCGGCCCGUCUUGAAACACGGACCAAGGAGUCUAACAUCUAUGCGAGUGUUUGGGUGUCAAGCCCGGGCGCGUAAUGAAAGUGAACGGAGGUGGGAACCCUUCGGGGCGCACCAUCGACCGAUCCUGAUGUCUUCGGAUGGAUUUGAGUAAGAGCAUAGCUGUUGGGACCCGAAAGAUGGUGAACUAUGCCUGAAUAGGGUGAAGCCAGAGGAAACUCUGGUGGAGGCUCGCAGCGGUUCUGACGUGCAAAUCGAUCGUCAAA